UUGWUCAUGGCUCAGAUUGAACGCUGGCGGAAUGCUUUACACAUGCAAGUCGAACGGCAGCACGGACUUCGGUCUGGUGGCGAGUGGCGAACGGGUGAGUAAUGUAUCGGAACGUAUCCAGUAAUGGGGGAUAACUAAUCGAAAGGUUGGCUAAUACCGCAUACGCCCUACGGGGGAAAGCAGGGGAUCUUCGGACCUUGCGUUAAUGGAGCGGCCGAUAUCUGAUUAGCUAGUUGGUGAGGUAAGAGCUCACCAAGGCGACGAUCAGUAGCUGGUCUGAGAGGACGACCAGCCACACUGGAACUGAGACACGGUCCAGACUCCUACGGGAGGCAGCAGUGGGGAAUUUUGGACAAUGGGCGCAAGCCUGAUCCAGCCAUUCCGCGUGAGUGAAGAAGGCCUUCGGGUUGUAAAGCUCUUUCGCAAGGGAAGAAACGAUGCAGACGAAUAAUCUGUGUUAAUGACGGUACCUUGAUAAGAAGCACCGGCUAACUACGUGCCAGCAGCCGCGGUAAUACGUAGGGUGCAAGCGUUAAUCGGAAUUACUGGGCGUAAAGCGUGCGCA
Molecule: ribosomal RNA, 565 nt
Filed under: uncultured Methylotenera sp.
Lineage: Bacteria; Pseudomonadati; Pseudomonadota; Betaproteobacteria; Nitrosomonadales; Methylophilaceae
Description: bacterial SSU rRNA
Rfam family: Bacterial small subunit ribosomal RNA
Source: RNAcentral